Long non-coding RNA from Sander lucioperca (pikeperch), 165 nucleotides. RefSeq lists it as uncharacterized. Lineage: Eukaryota; Metazoa; Chordata; Actinopteri; Perciformes; Percidae. The record is from RefSeq and is a predicted model, not a curated record. The transcript has 3 exons.
AAUUGAUAAAGAUUUAUUUUCUAAUUGAUCUGGAGUACAGUGCGUGGCCGCCUGGGCAGAGGGGCCGUGAGAGAUUUUCCUGUCUCAAUUGUUUGAAGGAUAUUUUGGAAAGAUAGCUGCCAGACAGGUUUUCACUCUCACACUCCAUAAAAUGUUUUUUUACAU